This 676-nucleotide ribosomal RNA is filed under the name Simulium subvariegatum. Its description in RNAcentral is "bacterial SSU rRNA". The stretch from base 1 to 608 matches the Rfam family "Eukaryotic small subunit ribosomal RNA", at positions 1290 to 1831 of the family's 1831-position model. The record is from RNAcentral. Lineage: Eukaryota; Metazoa; Arthropoda; Insecta; Diptera; Simuliidae.
GUUCUUAGUUCGUGGAAUGAUUUGUCUGGUNAAUUCCGUUAACGAACGUGACUCAAAUACAUUAAAUAGAUUCCUAUCCAGAUAAGUAAACUGUUAAUGCUUGCCUAUGGUAUGCUUUCGGGUGUGCCAUUGGGUAAGUGGAGGUUUACCUGAUAGUUUGUCAACUGUCAAAGGUUGACUUUGAUCUGCUUAAUGAGACAAAUUGUGUUUAGCAAAAUGAGAUUGAGCAAUAACAGGUCCGUGAUGCCCUUAGAUGUCCUGGGUUGCACGCGCGCUACAAUGAGACCAUCAACGUGAUACCUGAUCUGAAAGGAUUGGGAAAUCACUUAAAUGUGCUCUUAGUUGGGAUUGUGGAUUGUAAUUAUUCACAUGAACCUGGAAUUCCCAGUAAAUGCUAGUCAUCAGCUAGCGUUGACUAAGUCCCUGCCCUUUGUACACACCGCCCGUCGCUAUUACCGAUUGGUUAUUUAGUGAGGUCUCCGGAGGUAAUCGCCGAAGAUAUUUAGGUAUCACUAGGUUGUUUUGCCAAAGUUGACCGAACUUGAUGAUUGAGAGGAAAUAAAAGUCGUAACAAGGUUUCCGUAGGUGAACCUGCGGAAGGAUCAUUACUAUACUUAUUUCCACCAANUAAAACAAAGAGUUGAAUAAUAAUAUCCCAUCCAGUAUUGUCGAAAGG